Molecule: unclassified non-coding RNA, 22 nt
Filed under: Dictyostelium discoideum
Lineage: Eukaryota; Evosea; Eumycetozoa; Dictyosteliales; Dictyosteliaceae
Source: RNAcentral
UACUGAUCUUCCCAAUCUGGAU